This 239-nucleotide ribosomal RNA is filed under the name uncultured bacterium. Its description in RNAcentral is "partial 16S ribosomal RNA". It matches the Rfam family "Bacterial small subunit ribosomal RNA", at positions 116 to 354 of the family's 1533-position model. The record is from RNAcentral.
CGUGAGUAACCUGCCUUGGAGUGGGGAAUAACAGCUGGAAACAGCUGCUAAUACCGCAUAAUGCAGUUGGGUCGCAUGGCUCUGACUGCCAAAGAUUUAUCGCUCUGAGAUGGACUCGCGUCUGAUUAGCUAGUUGGUGGGGCAACGGCCCACCAAGGCGACGAUCAGUAGCCGGACUGAGAGGUUGGCCGGCCACAUUGGGACUGAGACACGGCCCAGACUCCUACGGGAGGCAGCAG